Molecule: ribosomal RNA, 392 nt
Filed under: uncultured bacterium
Lineage: Bacteria
Description: bacterial SSU rRNA
Rfam family: Bacterial small subunit ribosomal RNA
Source: RNAcentral
AUUGAACGCUGGCGGCAUGCCUUACACAUGCAAGUCGAACGGCAGCACGGGAGCAAUCCUGGUGGCGAGUGGCGAACGGGUGAGUAAUAUAUCGGAACGUGCCCAGUCGUGGGGAUAACGUAGCGAAAGCUACGCUAAUACCGCAUACGAUCUAUGGAUGAAAGCGGGGGAUCGCAAGACCUCGCGCGAUUGGAGCGGCCGAUAUCAGAUUAGGUAGUUGGUGAGGUAAAGGCUCACCAAGCCGACGAUCUGUAGCUGGUCUGAGAGGACGACCAGCCACACUGGGACUGAGACACGGCCCAGACUCCUACGGGAGGCAGCAGUGGGAAUUUUGGACAAUAGGGCGCAAGACCUGAUCCAGCAAUGCCGCGUGCNGGAUGAAGCUCGUGUAC